Molecule: long non-coding RNA, 412 nt
Filed under: Nicotiana benthamiana
Lineage: Eukaryota; Viridiplantae; Streptophyta; Magnoliopsida; Solanales; Solanaceae
Description: long non-coding RNA (NBEN_LNC016637)
Source: RNAcentral
GACCUUGGGUACUGCAGGCGCAUUAGGACGGAGGAGGUCAUGAGGGCUUUGCGUAGGAUGAGUAGGGUCGAGCGAUCGGGCCUGACGAGAUCCCGGUGGAGUUCUAGAAGUGCAUGGGUAGGUCAGGAGUGGAAUGGCUCUCCAGGUUGUUCAAUGCGAUCUUCAGGACCAGAAGGAUGCCGGAUGAGUGGAGGUGGAGUACAGUGGUGCCCUUGUACAAGAACAAAGGGGACAUCCAGUGCUGCAACAACUAUAGGGGUAUCAAAUUAAUNNNNNNNCUUUCUUAAGGAGUACAGUGGUGCCCUUGUACAAGAACAAAGGGGACAUCCAGUGCUGCGACAACUAUAGGGGUGUCAAAUUAAUAAGUCACACCAUGAAGGUGUGGGAGCGGGUGAUCGAGGCAAGGGUGAGG